UUUAAUUAGAAAACUAAAAAAAAAGUAAUCUACAUUCAACAAAAGCAUGGUUGUUUUGCACCAUUCUAGCUUAUUUCCAUAUAUCUUACACAAGGAGAGUGUGACUCCUUGUUGUUCUGCAGGUUACAAUACCAUAUCAUCAUUAGGAAUGCAACGAAACCAGACCAAACCAAACCAACCAUUGUCUUAGGAUAACAUCAAUGCUUCACCAAACAAAGACUGUCCACUUUAAAUAGUUUGUUGUUGUUCAAUCAUAUUUAUGUAUAGUAAGGAUCGGGAUAAUGUUUUGCAUCCUCGAAAAUUUUCACCUGUUCUGCAAUCUUAUUCAUAACAAACCGUUUUGAUCUCCGUUUGUAUAGUUGACACAUAACAGAUUGAUAACAAGCAACAUUAGGUUUGACACCAGCUUUUAUCAUCAAAGUUGCUGCACUUUUAACAGAUUUCACCUCUUGUUCGGUAACUAAAGUUUGAUAAAGGUGCAACAAUUCUUUAAGCAAUUCAAUAGCUAGUUUAAAGUGACCGAUGACCAUAGAUUAGAUUUGCAUAUGUUCUAGGGUUAAGCAAGAUGUUGUUAAAAAUCAUUUCAACAUAAAGAGCAUAGGCUUGGUUUACAAGUCUUUCUUUGGAGAGCCUGAAUAUGAUUGAGUUAUAACAAGACGUGAGAUAAACACAAGUAUCUUCUGGUUCCCUUUCAAUCAGCAGUGCCUGUCUCAGCAUUUUUUUUAGGGAACCAGCGAUCUUAUUUAUAUCUAGGGAGGGUUAAACAAAUUUACUAACUUAUUUAUAGUAAGGGAUAAGGGUAAUUUUUUUUUUUUUUUUUGGGUAUGGGUAAAAUAUUGUUAUUCCUUUUUAAGAGGGUAGAAUAUUAUUUACAUUGUUGUGGUUCUAUUGCUGUGUAUUGUUCUUUUUUCUAAUGGAAUUUAAAUAAUUUUUUAAUAUAUAAUUUAAAUAAUAUUAUAAAUAUAACAAUAUAGUUUAAAUGAAGGGGUAAAAUUGAAAAGAAAAAGGUCACUGCAAAAAAUAUGUAUUCCCUUUAUAUAUUAUUAUAGAUUUUAGUGAGAUUUAUUUAAAUAAAUUUAUAAUAAUUUUGUCAAAAACUGUUGUUCUGACGGGCACUCA
This 1119-nucleotide long non-coding RNA is filed under the name Medicago truncatula (barrel medic). RNAcentral describes it as "long non-coding RNA (MTRU_LNC003039)". The record is from RNAcentral. Lineage: Eukaryota; Viridiplantae; Streptophyta; Magnoliopsida; Fabales; Fabaceae.